CUCCCACCAACCUCUCGGUUCCUCCUCCCGGUGAUGUUUGGAAAGCGAAACUCAUCUUUGGCUCAGACAUGCACGAGCGGCACGGGAGCGCGCACAGCCUGUUGUAGCAGAAAGUGAUGCUCUGAGAGAAGAUUUCCACUUUGACAUGAACGAGUUUACAGCCAUGGAUGGAUUUCAUGUUCAGAUUUGCGAUUAAGUUACAAAAACACUCGAGGCACAAGAAGAGACAGGUGUGCACCACCUGCAGGACGGCUGCCAGGCGGCGGUCCAGAGCAGACAGGUGAGCUUCUGACAGGAGAGGAGCUGCGUCUGCCAGAGGAUCCUGAGCCAACGAUUCCCGCAUGACGUCGCUCAGACGGAAGUCAGGGAGGGCCAGGAGACGCAGCCGGAGGAGGGUGGAGCGCCGGAUCCUGUACAAGUAGGACAGGAGGGAAGGCAACAGGUUUAAUAAAAAUAUUAACAGGAAGACGUGUGACACCCACAUUUCUCCCUGGAUUCUUUAGCUGUACAAUGUCUAUAAAAAGUAUUCACUCCCCGUGGAUGUUUCACCGUUUUGUUGCUUUUAUACAUUAAAUCAUGGUCAAUAUAAUUUGGCUUUUUUGACAAGAAUUUGCAAAAACAAAACCCUUUUAACCCUUGUGUCGUCCUGUGGGUCAAAUUGACCCGUUUUAAAGUUUGAAAUGUGGAAAAAAUAUUUGUUCACAGUGAAACUUCUGAUGUCCACAUUUUCUACAUUUUUGGGAAAUCUUUGAACAUUUUUUGGUGGAAAAAAAGAAAUGUUAAAAAUGUUUCUGAAGAACAUUUAUAAUCCAGUGAAUUUUGCUGGAUUUUGGUUGAUUUUUUUUCUGAAUGUUCUUAAAGAAAAUAUUAGAAGUUUUACUGAUAUAUAUGGAAUCACUUUAGAUAUUUUUAGGAUUUUUUUGGAAGAUUUUUACUCAUUUUUUGAAAAUAUUUACAAGAAUUUGGGGAUUUUUUUUAAAUAAAACUUUUAAGGGAAACUUUAAAGGAAUUAUUGGAAUUUUCGUCAUGAAGGUUUUGCAAAUUUUCAGAAAUUUGGGGAAUUUUUUUGCUGAAUUUUUGGAUUUUUUUCAGAUAAGGAAACAAUAUUUUUUGGUGCCUGUAAAUGAGGACAACAGGAGGGUUAAAUAUCAAAGUGGGACAGAAACAGAUUUUUAACAAAAGAAGUAAUAAGAAGAAACAUGGCAUCAGUGUUUAUUAAAGCGUCUAAAUAUCUGAAUCUUCUCUAGAUGAAUCAUUUCUACUCCGCCUUGCAGCUAGAUUCACUCUGGAAUGACUCUAAUGGAGGAAGUCAGUCUGAGUUUUCCUCGUUUUACCUGCAACACUGCUGCAAAGGAGCAAGAAUAGACGGCUCAUCCUGAGAGUGACGCCCAAACCUGGAAUAUAUCAUCAGCAAUAUUUUAGUUUACAACAAAACACCAACAAUAAGAUGUUCUCUAAAUGAUUGACAGUAAGAACAGAGGUAUGAAAUGAAGGAUGUUUGGUACUCACGCCCGCCCGUUAUCCAGGUGCAGCAGAAAUGUCUCAUUACCAAAUUUCUCAAAUGUCUCAUAGUGAUGUCUGUCCAUGUUGCCUUUGAAUAAUAAUAAAAAAUAUUAAACUAGAACAGGAAAUCAUGUGGAUUUUAGCUAAUUCUACUGAUAGCAUCCAGAGUGGAUCUAAGUGGGAGAUAAUUCUCUUUUUGUAAAUUGUUGAAAUCUUGUUGUUAGUGUCUGCAAUGACAAUAAAGUUUCAGUCUUAAUCCAGUCAGAUGAAACACCAACGACUGAACAUCCUCACCAUGAAGCAUGGUGGUGGCAGCAUCAUGCUGUGGGAAUGCUAGUUGGAAGCAGUUACUGAACAUUAAACCAGUUACUGAACACUAAACCAGUUACUGAUCAUUAAACCAGUUACUGAACACUAAACCAGUUACUGACUCAUGAGGAAGUCCAGGACAGCCAUGUCUAUGAGGUCCACCAGUCGGGUUCCUUGGCUGUAAGGAGGCGUCUGCUUCACGGAGUCGCAGUAGUUCGGGUUCUUUUCCCACCUGGAACAACACAACAGAGACUCACAGUCAAACACAAUAGCAGGAAAUAGAUCUGAACCUCACUGGUAACACUGGUUUUACUGUUGAUGCAACGAUGGCACCAGUUUUAUUCAUCAGUUUGUGUUUUACACCCUAGCAGUAGUCUUUUAAUGUGCUCCAUGGUGGGUAGUGCAGCUCUUAGUCAUAGAUUUUUGAGUUUUUUGUGCUUUUGUUGUCACUUGACUGUAAUUUGGGUUGAUGGAGGAGUUUGACUUCAAAGUUUAUAAUUAAAUAGAGUGCAGAUUCUG
Long non-coding RNA from Amphiprion ocellaris (clown anemonefish), 2331 nucleotides. RefSeq lists it as uncharacterized. The record is from RefSeq and is a predicted model, not a curated record. The transcript has 3 exons. Lineage: Eukaryota; Metazoa; Chordata; Actinopteri; Pomacentridae.